CAUCGGUGCCGGAGUGGUAUGGGAAGAAGCGAUCGCUGCUCGCCUGCUCCCCACAACAGCUCACCCGCCUUUCGCUUAAUUAAAAUCAUAUAUUGGUGUGAUCAGACGUGGUAAUGCCAUUAAAAAAAAAAACAAAUCCCGUAACAUCCACCCACUCGUUGUUGGAGACUGUAGCCAAGAGAUGUAGAUUUUCCUUGGGAGAUUUGGGAAGGAUUAUUUUUUAAUGAAAAAGAGGAAAAAAAUACACCCAGAAAAAAACAAAAACGAACCAAAACAAACAAUGAAAAAGAAACAAAAAGGAAAAAAGCACGACAGAACCAAACCGCAGUAAGUGAAGCUGCAAAUGCAGCCGACUAGUCCGGAUCAGACAAUUCAUUGCACGAAAAAAGGAUAAAUGGAACUGCAAUGGCCGGCUUUGCUGUAGGUCCAGGAGGAGGGAUCAGCUCCUUUAUCCCACCAUCUCGCGCUACGAACACCACCAUUUUUUUCCCUUUCUCUCCUUUUUUUUUUUUUAAAUACGCUUUGUUGGGGCGUUUUGUUUCGAGCCGAGGCGGCUGCACCACCCCCCGAGCCGGGGCUGCCGGAGCCGCUCGGGGGCUUCACUUUUACAGAGAUCUCUUAUUUUUCCCCGGCCUCGUGCAGUCCUCUCCCUUUUAUUACAUGGGUUUGUUUUUUUUCCCCCUCUCCCCUCUGCGGGUAUAAAGGUUUCUCUCCUCUCUCCAGCUUGGCUGCUUGUUCCAGAAGUUUCCACGGGGGCGGGGAGCCCCCACUGCGGCGCCUUUGCCGCAGCGCCGGGCAGGAGGAGGAGGAGGAUGCGGAGGAUGCGCCACCUCUCCCUGGCUGGGAGCCUCAUUCCAAGCCGCUCCCCCUUGCUCCGUUCCCCCAGCCUUGAAAACACAGCACUGGGGAGGUGUUUGCAACUUGGAGGGGUUUUUUUUUUUUGGGGUUGUUUUUUGUUUUUGUUUUUUUCCCCCCUCUAAAUAAAUGGAAAGCAGAGCUGUCGCUGAUGGAGAUGGAUGAGGCAGGGCUGGCAGCGCCGCAGCUCUGCUCCGGCGUGGCCGUGGCACCGAUGGCAUAAGUGACCUUUCCCAGGCGGUGGGAGAGGGGAUUCCCCCCCCGCCCCAGCAUGCUCCUGCUCGGAAUUCAUUUUAAAUAGCAGGAAUAUUAUUUUUUAUUUUCCUUCCCUCCUCCCGUUUCUCCUUCACUGUUUGGUUUUGUUUGUUUUUUGGUUGUUUUUUUUUUUUUUUCUUCCCCGAAGCUUCCUCAUGAUCUUUUAUUUUUUUUCCUGUGUGUGUUUUGAAUUGCAUUUUAAAAUUGCCCAGCUGGAGACAAGGCUUGAUUAGAGCUGGAACAAUAGCUCCCUUUUAUUAAUAACGGGAAGGAUUUACAAUCCUACAGCACCUUCCUUGGAAAGCUUUCCAAACCAUUUGCAAACACUCACAAAUUUCAGAUUGUGCAGCCCUUGGCUGUGAGUCCCUAAGUGACCUCCUGCAGCGCUGCCUCCACUGCGGUUCCAGCGCAGCCUUGCACUGGAGCACUAAUGUGUGUCCCUGCGAGCCAGAGUGACCUUGCUGGGGGACUGGACCCACCGAGUGAUUCAGCAGAUCCCUACGAACCACGCAGGGAUCCAGGAGUCACCCAGGCAGUGGGAUCUGGCCUUGCCAGAAGCAUGAGGGACAAGGCUCCAGCCAUGUCUGCAUGUGUCACACACGGGCCACACAAACCCACAGUGUUCCUGUGGUUGCUUCUGUCUGCAGAGCAUCAGUGGGUCCCAGGACUUCCCCUUCCCACUGCUUGCUGGUUCACAAAGGCUGAUGCUUCUGGAAAAAGCUCUGCCUUGUGGCCUUUAAAAUAAAUAAAUAAAGC
Long non-coding RNA from Taeniopygia guttata (zebra finch), 1866 nucleotides. NCBI's taxonomy places the organism in Eukaryota, Metazoa, Chordata, Aves, Passeriformes, Estrildidae. The record is from Ensembl.